CUUGGACAAACGGCAGAGGUGAUAAGAAGUACUCUGAGGCAACGCUCUGCUUCUUCUUCUUCUCUGUCGAUCUCUUCUCUUCGAGGAGAAAGAGGAGGAGGAGGAUGCUGCAGGAGCAGGCAACCAGCUCCCUUCCUUCGGGUAGCGAGAGAUCCUCGAGUUCCGCCCCUCUGAUGGAAGUCAAAGAAGGUAUGGAAAGCGACGACGAGAUCAGGAGAGUGCCAGAUUUCGGGUUCCAGCCGGCCGGCCCAUCGACCUCCGGCCGGGAGGCCGCUUCGGCGGACGGUCCGGACCAGGGCCAGCCCGGCCAGCGGCGGAGAGGGAGGAGCGUCGCCGACAAGGAGCACAAACGGGUGAAGAGGUUGCUGAGGAAUCGAGUGUCAGCUCAGCAAGCACGGGAGAGAAAGAAGGCUUACCUGAAUGAUUUGGAGGCCAAGGUGAAGGAUUUGGAGGCCAGGAACUCGCAACUGGAGGAGAGGAUGUCCACGUUGCAGAAUGAGAACAACAUGCUGAGACAAGAAUCCUCGAAAGUGUUGGUCCAAAUUCUGUAAUGGAAUAUUCCGAGCACGGAUCACAUUUUGAUUUUUGAUGGGAUUCGACACUCCGAUGAUGCCAUCGGAAAUUAGAUCUUGGAUUCAGAGGGUGGGAUUUAGGAGAUCUUGAAAAAUACUACUGUUAGUAGGAGAGGAUCUGGUAUUAAUGCCAAUGGAGAAGGCAAGUAGAGUAUCGAUCCAAACGCAAGAACUCACACUGGUAAGCCUACUAUAAUUUCGCAGCAACCCUGAUGAAGGGAUCCAAAAAAAGAAGAAAGACGAUUAUGAUUGGAAAUGUUGUGGACUUUGAUUCAAGUAACUGCUUGUGUACUCCUUUUUAUCUGAAUCUGGAUGAUGUGGUUAGUGAUUGCCCUAAAA
Molecule: RNA transcript, 911 nt
Organism: Musa acuminata subsp. malaccensis (wild Malaysian banana)
Lineage: Eukaryota; Viridiplantae; Streptophyta; Magnoliopsida; Zingiberales; Musaceae
Gene name: transcription factor HY5
Source: RefSeq, a predicted model, not a curated record